RNAcentral lists this ribosomal RNA (423 nucleotides) under uncultured bacterium. RNAcentral's name for it is "bacterial SSU rRNA". It matches the Rfam family "Bacterial small subunit ribosomal RNA", at positions 358 to 773 of the family's 1533-position model. The record is from RNAcentral.
GGAAUAUUGGACAAUGGGCGCAAGCCUGAUCCAGCCAUGCCGCGUGUGUGAAGAAGGCCUUCGGGUUGUAAAGCACUUUCAGCGCGGAGGAAGGGUGUUGUUUUAAUAGAACAGCAUUUUGCCGUUACUCGCAGAAGAAGAACCGGCUAACUCCUGUCCAGCAGCCGCGGUAAUACGGAGGGUGCAAGCGUUAAUCGUAAUUAAUGGGCGUAAAGCGCACGUAGGCGGUAUGUUAAGUUGGAUGUGAAAGCCCCGGGCUCAACCUGGGAAUUGCAUUCAAAACUGGCAUGCUAGAGUAUGUGAGAGGGGGGUAGAAUUCCAAGUGUAGCGGUGAAAUGCGUAGAGAUUUGGAGGAAUACCAGUGGCGAAGGCGGCCCCCUGGCACAAUACUGACGCUCAGGUGCGAAAGCGUGGGGAGCAAAC